Long non-coding RNA from Drosophila pseudoobscura, 753 nucleotides. RefSeq lists it as uncharacterized. The record is from RefSeq and is a predicted model, not a curated record. The transcript is spliced from 2 exons. NCBI's taxonomy places the organism in Eukaryota, Metazoa, Arthropoda, Insecta, Diptera, Drosophilidae.
GUGAACCCAAUACCGAAGACACGUCUCAGACAUGCAAAAAUAAAAUGAAAAGGAGAAAAGUACGUUGCAAAGAGCACAACAGAGAGAAGUGAGAGAAAAUGCCCGGGAGAAUACUCGAGCAGAAGCCAUAUCAUUGGCAUAUCUAUGCACAGUUUUUUCUGUUCGAGAGUUCAAUGCAUUGAUUAUAUCUCGAUUACGCAUACGCCACGACGGCCAGCGCAGAUCAACCCGCAACUCAAACAGAACGUCGAACUGGAAUCGAAAACAGAAAAGUCGCCGCUGGUUAGAGGGGAACACAGAUCCCGGCAGACAACCUUCAAAACAGGCUGGACAAAUUAUUCCCCCCCACCCCCUUGUGGGCUCAUUGCUUGCCGCUGUCAUGGCACUUAUUUAAUUUAUAAUCAAAAUCAGCAAACCCGACCCCAGACCCCCAGACCCCCAGACCACGGACCAAGCCCAGCCGGGUACGAGCCAAGUCAGUCAAUAAAAGUCAGAGGAGGUUGGAGUGGGGCUGGAGAAAACUUGUGGCAUUUGUGCUUAUUUGGACAUUCAAAUUGCCUCAAGCAUGAAUUAUGUGCGGAGAGCGAAUCAAAUUUGACUCGAAUUCAUUCCCUGUUUUGUCCGCCAUUGGAAUGAAUGUAAAUAAGCGUAAAGAUUCGCUUAGUGACUUUGAUACCAAAUGUUGGCCUUUGUUCACUGAUAAGUAAAUUGAACUUUCCUUUAGUUUCGAGAGCUGCGAGAGUUCAAAGUUGA